UGGGGAAUAUUGCGCAAUGGGCGAAAGCCUGACGCAGCGACGCCGCGUGAGGGAAGAAGGCCUUCGGGUCGUAAACCUCUGUCAGGAAGGAAGAACCGCGUGGGAUCGAAUAGGUCCUGCGUCUGACGGUACUUCCAGAGGAAGCACCGGCUAACUCCGUGCCAGCAGCCGCGGUAAUACGGAGGGUGCAAGCGUUAAUCGGAAUCACUGGGCGUAAAGCGCACGUAGGCGGCCUUGCAAGUCAGACGUGAAAGCCCACGGCUCAACCGUGGAAUUGCGUUUGAAACUGCUUGGCUCGAGUCCGAGAGAGGGUGGCGGAAUUCCGGGUGUAGGAGUGAAAUCCGUAGAUAUCCGGAGGAACACCAGUGGCGAAGGCGGCCACCUGGAUCGGUACUGACGCUGAGGUGCGAAAGCGUGGGGAGCAAACA
Molecule: ribosomal RNA, 428 nt
Filed under: uncultured prokaryote
Description: bacterial SSU rRNA
Rfam family: Bacterial small subunit ribosomal RNA
Source: RNAcentral